AAUCAACGCUGGCGGCGUGCCUAACACAUGCAAGUCGAACGAGAAAGGGGACUUCGGUCCCUGAGUACAGUGGCGCACGGGUGAGUAACACGUGACUUAUCUACCCUCGAGUGGGGAAUAACUUCGGGAAACCGAGGCUAAUACCGCAUAAUACCCACGGGUCAAAGGAGCAAUUCGCUUGAGGAGGAGGUCGCGGCCGAUUAGUUAGUUGGCGGGGUAAUGGCCCACCCAAGACGGUGAUCGGCAUCCGGCCUGAGAGGGCGCACGGACACACUGGAACUGAAACACGGUCCAGACUCCUACGGGAGGCAGCAGUGGGGAAUUUUGCGCAAUGGGGGAAACCCUGACGCAGCAACGCCGCGUGGAGGAUGAAGUCUCUUGGGACGUAAACUCCUUUCGAUCGGGACGAUUAUGACGGUACCGGAAGAAGAAGCCCCGGCUAACUUCGUG
Molecule: ribosomal RNA, 450 nt
Filed under: uncultured bacterium
Lineage: Bacteria
Description: bacterial SSU rRNA
Rfam family: Bacterial small subunit ribosomal RNA
Source: RNAcentral